UCGUAAAGUUCAUCAGAUAUAAGUCCCAUGCCAUGCAGAAAUGGAAUUCUACCAUCUUCAUCAAUCUUGUAAUCUGUCACUGGAUUUCCAGCAAUGUAUCCCUGUGAAAUUAUACAUUCAUAAUGAAAGAAUCUUACUUUCGUCAAUUGCAAGUGUAAGUGUAGGUACAAUCAUUCCACUAUAUGAGUCACCUCCAAUAUAGAGUGGAUUCAGUGAGAACCGGGGAUGGUCAUGAAGCCACUUUACCUUUCUAAGGAAAAUUAGAAGUUGUUUCACAGCAUUGGUAUCACUAGACUUGGAACCCUCCUCUGUGGCUGCAUAUGAGAACCCUGCCCCUACAGGAGAAUCCACAAAGAUUAUAUUGCUAACCUUAGUCCAUGUCUCUGGUCGGUAGAUAAUUAUGGGCAAUCCUCCACUAUAGUAUCUAGAUGGACGGAGUAUUACCUAUCUCAUGGGCUAGGCCAGAGAUGCUAGAGCAGCCAGGCCCACCUGUUAGCCAGAGCAAAAGUGGGUCUAGAUCAGGAUUCUUCUCUGACCGGACAAAGUAGUAGAAGAGCUGCACGCCAGUGCUCUCUAUAUAUACAUACCCGGUUUCGAGGGAGAAUGGCAAUGGGCCGUCGAACCCGGGCAGGCUCGACACGGCGACACAGGCCGCCGCCGUCCACGACGACGAGGCCACCCAAGAAACGAAGCAGCAGCAGGCGAGCCACCACCACGUCAAGCAACGGCGGCUGGUGGUGCUUCUCGUCGCCACCAU
Molecule: small RNA, 757 nt
Filed under: Oryza sativa Japonica Group (Japanese rice)
Lineage: Eukaryota; Viridiplantae; Streptophyta; Magnoliopsida; Poales; Poaceae
Description: sRNA Os11g0460851
Source: RNAcentral